GGCUCAGGAUGAACGCUAGCGACAGGCCUAACACAUGCAAGUCGAGGGGCAGCGGGGAGGUAGCAAUACCUUUGCCGGCGACCGGCGCACGGGUGAGUAACACGUAUGCAAUCCACCUGUAACGAGGGGAUAACCCGGAGAAAUCCGGACUAAUACCCCAUGAUAUGGGCUCUCCGCAGUGGGGGGGUCCCAUUAAAGAGAGCAAUCUUGGUUACAGACGAGCAUGCGCUCCAUUAGCCAGUUGGCGGGUAACGGCCCACCAAGGCGACGAUGGAUAGGGGUUCUGAGAGGAAGGCCCCCCACAUUGGAACUGAGACACGGUCCAAACUCCUACGGGAGGCAGCAGUGAGGAAUAUUGGUCAAUGGACGAGAGUCUGAACCAGCCAAGUAGCGUGAAGGAUGAAGGUCUUACGGAUUGUAAACUUCUUUUAUAAGGGAAUAAACCCUCCCACGUGUGGGAGCUUGUAUGUACCUUAUGAAUAAGCAUCGGCUAACUCCGUG
Molecule: ribosomal RNA, 501 nt
Filed under: uncultured bacterium
Lineage: Bacteria
Description: bacterial SSU rRNA
Rfam family: Bacterial small subunit ribosomal RNA
Source: RNAcentral